Lolium rigidum is the source of this 272-nucleotide long non-coding RNA. RefSeq lists it as uncharacterized. NCBI's taxonomy places the organism in Eukaryota, Viridiplantae, Streptophyta, Magnoliopsida, Poales, Poaceae. The transcript has 3 exons. The record is from RefSeq and is a predicted model, not a curated record.
GGCCAUUCGGGGAGCUCGACUCCUCACUUACGUGGAGAUGCCUCAUCUGCAUCUCUGACCAUGUCUGACCCUGUUAUUGUUUCUUGCCAGAAUGCCAGUAGGAAACUCUGAAACUGAUGUAGUAGGACUGUCUUAUUCUCAACCGAGAGGGUUACUGCAACUAGCAAGGAAAGUGUCAUGUUCAUACUAUUUUGCUUUUUUUGUGAUAAUUGCAGCAGGUUAUGUUCUUAUGAUGGUAAUUUUAGAUAACACGAAGAUUGAGAUAGUCCAUU